GCAAGGGACGGUUCUUAAUAAGCAUGUGUAGUCGUUUGGUUCUGUUCUUUCUCUCUCUGGAUCAAAGUAGUAAACUUUUGCUUCGGAUUUAAGUUUAACCCAUCUCUCACCUUCCCUUGCAAUCAAAUCUCCAACCAAAUUAAUCUCUCUGGGCAAUUCUCACUCUUAUUCUCCGACAGAGAACAGUCUCGACCUUCGUCUUAAGUUGAGCCUAGGUCGAUAGGGCUUCUCACGCUGAUGAUUCUUCUUCUUGUUCAUCGUCAUCACCUUCUGCUUUUGUGGCUUUUGUGUGAUCUAAUAUAUCUAUCGUGGCUUCAUCUCUCCUAUUUUUAAGCAAAUAAGUAACCUUCCAUCUUCUCUUUCUUACUCCAUCUAUUGUAGUCUGAUCUGUUGAUUGUGUAGUUCUGUAGUUCUGUUCUGCUUUGGUGUUUAAUUCCUCUUUGCAAGCAAGUAAUAUUCUAUUGGAAACUUGAGAGUUUGGGUUUGUAAAGUUCGUGCGAUCGUCAUUGUUACUUUAAUUUUCUAAUUACUCUGUCAAAGGUCAGAACUUUGCUUCAACCCUUUAAGCGACCACUAUUCUGAGUAUGAUGUCGAGGAUUCAAUACCGCUGGUCCAGCCAUCCCUAUGUUACACUGCACCUGAAUUUGUGCGCAGCAAAAGUCCUUCAGCUGGAGCUUCGUCAGACAGUUUCAGUUUUGGAUGCAUUGCCUAUCAUUUGGUUGCUAGGAAACCGUUGUUGGAUUGCAAUAACAAUGUCAAGAUGGUAACUCUCAAUACCCUCUGGUUUUGAUUUAUCGUCUCAUGCUUUGUAUCUUCGGAAUUUGGUUUUGCAACCAAUCAUCUUGCCAAUGUUUCUAACUAUAGCACAGUCUCAGGUAACUUUAAAUUUGAUAAUCAGUCUCCCAUGUGUUUCUUCACUAGAUUGUUGUUGAUAUAUUGAUCUCAGUGGUUUCUAGAUAAAACUUGUUUUCCUUAUUAUUUACUCUACUUGUAUCCGAGCUCAGCAAAGGUUCUCCUUUAACUUUUUAGUUGUAACAAAUGGUGUAUGUUGUUAUUUCUCAACCUGUAACUUUGUACAAAACUUUGAAGUUUCCUUGACCAACCUGAUAAUUACAUUUACAGGAUAGGAAUGACUUUGAGUUGACAACACUGCCCGCUCUUGUUCCUCUUCUGAGUACUGAAAGCUUUGAAAGCUUCCAUAUUGAUGUUAGACUGGCUUCUCUAUGUUUCCGAAUACCAGUUCUAAAUAUGCAUUGAAAUCACUUUUCUUUUUGUUUUCUAUUGCAUACAGGGUAAGAUCCUUGCUUGACUUAUAUUUUUAUGUAAUUUUUCAGACUGAUAGCGAGCAUCUUGUAUCGCAUGUUCUCCCUUUGCUUCUCCGAGCCUACAAUGAUAACGAUGUCCGCAUACAGGAGGAAGUUCUUAAAAGAUCAACAUCUGUCGCUAAGCAACUCGAUGGUCAGGUUGUGAAGAUUCAUAAUAGAGAACACAGUGGAGGAAAAGAUUCUGAAGCUUCAAAAGAAGAAGGAACUUGUGUUUGAAGGGACCGUUGGUGGUUCUCAGGAGGCUAUAGGAAAGUUGACAGCGGAAGAUAUGUCUUGUACUCGCUUGUGUUGUUGUAAUGAAAGUGUCACGGACUUUGUAUGUUUUUGUAAGUACUAGUAUUCACAUGUCUUAGAAACUUGUAUAAAUGAAACUAGUAUUCACAAGUUCUCAAGUUA
Molecule: RNA transcript, 1721 nt
Organism: Brassica oleracea var. oleracea
Lineage: Eukaryota; Viridiplantae; Streptophyta; Magnoliopsida; Brassicales; Brassicaceae
Exons: 4
Source: RefSeq, a predicted model, not a curated record